AUCAUUUAAAUAUGAGAGAACAAUUAGAAGUUAAUUAGUACAUAAAGUCUUAGGAAUUACAAUCAUCCUUAGAAGAAGACAGAAUUCAAACUUGAACACAUGAAAAGUAUUUCAAAAUGCACUGCAAUCAUGGCAACCUAACUAAGCUAAGCAACGGUGUCAUCUCCUUCCAAGACCUGUGAUGGGUUGUCGCGGCCCACACAAAUUUGAUUGCAUAUUAGGAAUGCAGUAUAGACUAGGAAGUGACUCCUAGGUCGUCUCUCAAGGACCAAACUGUAGUUCGAGAAUCAGGUCAGGCACGAAGUGGGGGGGUGUCGUUGAAAGGAUUAUGAAUGCAGAUGAACUGAAGUAAAGCUGAAAAUUAAACACAACCGAAUAUAAUUCAAAACAAUUAAAUAAAUGAACAAGAAGAGGGACCUAACAGUCCUACAGAUGACCGAACGGUUCUACAUUAAGACCAAACUAUCUCUAAGGCAAGUGAGGAAAUUGGAAAUGCGAGAAAAUAAAGAAACCUGACAGAACAAACAUCAUAUUGAACUGAAACAAUAAACCCAACAUAAUAGAGAACAUAAAAAAGUAAACGAAAAUACUAGACCCCAACAAUGUGACAAACAACUAUCCAACAAAGUUAAAUUAAUUUAAAUGCAAAACUAAAUUAAGAAGAUAAUCACUACUAAACAUUUAAUGUAAAUAUUCUAAAGCAAAAUAAUUAAAAGAAAACACAAAGUUUCUUCUACCAAUACAAGUGACUAAGUGCUUUUACCAAAGGAAAUUGAAUUUGCAAUCCUUGAAAAUAAAACCUCUUGCUGUGACUUUUCCCAGCCGAAACCUUGUGCACCCUUUCUCCUAAAUGAUAAUACCAGACCGUGUGCUUCUAAAAGAGAAGUGAAAUGUGCUUCUCCAGAAUUAAAAUCACGUCCCACGUGGCUGGAAGCAUUUUCAAUUCUACCCAAAAUCUAGCACCGUCUGUGAAGCCCUCCAGCUUCAAUGUGCCGUGACAGCACCUUGAUUACUGCACCCAAUUCUCCAAAGCAAUUAACUCCAUCAAAAGCAAAUGAAUUCAGCACCUCCGUCCCAGCUGAGUCCGUAUACCAACUUCUGCC
This 1103-nucleotide long non-coding RNA is filed under the name Vigna radiata. Its description in RNAcentral is "long non-coding RNA (VRAD_LNC016587)". Lineage: Eukaryota; Viridiplantae; Streptophyta; Magnoliopsida; Fabales; Fabaceae. The record is from RNAcentral.